Non-coding RNA from Polypterus senegalus (gray bichir), 410 nucleotides. The record is from the annotation of a RefSeq genome assembly. Lineage: Eukaryota; Metazoa; Chordata; Cladistia; Polypteriformes; Polypteridae.
CAAUGCUGUUAAUAUUAGUGUAACAAACAACAGCUUACUUCAAAAUGAGGCUCAUAGACCUGAUGUUGAUUUUAAAGACAUUAUAUAUAUUUGAUGUUUCUGCAGAAAUAAAGCUGCAGGAAUCUGAUCCUGUAACUCUACAGCCCGGACAGUCAAACCAGUUAUCAUGUAAAGCCUCAGGGUUCACUUUCAGUAGCUACUACAUGAGCUGGGUUCGUCAACCUCCUGGUAAAGGACUGGAAUGGGUGGCAACAAUAAGACCUGAUGCUAGCAACCAGUGGUAUGCAAAAUCUGUUGAGGGACGAUUUACCAUCACCAGAGACAAUUCUAACAACAUGCUGUACUUAAAGAUGAACAGCCUGCAGACUACAGACACAGCCGUGUAUUACUGUACUAGAGAUACACAGUGA